AGGGCGCCUGAGUCGGCAGUGGCAGACGCGAAACCAAGUGAUCUACCCUUGACCAGGUUGAAGGCUGGGUAACACCAGCUGGAGGACCGAACCAAUAAGCGUUGAAAAGCUUCUGGAUGAGUUGAGGGUAGGGGUGAAAGGCUAAUCAAACUUGGAGAUAGCUCGUACUCCCCGAAAUGCAUUUAGGUGCAGCCUUGCGGGUUACUGAUGUGAGGUAGAGCGACUGAUAAGAUGCGAGGGCUUCACCGCCUAUCAAGUCUUGACAAACUCCGAAUGCGCAUCAGUCCUACCGCAGGAGUGAGGGCAUGGGUGCUAAGGUCCGUGCCCGAGAGGAGAAGAAUCCGGACCACCUGCUAAGGUCCCGAAAUGACAGCUAAGUUAAACUAACGAAGUCGGACUGCCAUGACAGCUAGGAUGUUGGCUUGGAAGCAGCCAUUCAUUUAAAGAGUGCGUAACAGCUCACUAGUCGAGGAGUCCGGCGUGGAUAAUAAUCGGGUAUGAAGUUGUCUACCGAAGCAGUGGGAUCAUGUAAAUGAUCGGUAGGGGAGCAUUCCACCCGGCGUCGAAGGCGUACCGUGAGGUAUUCUGGAGCGUGUGGAAAAGCAAAUGUAGGUAUAAGUAACGAUAAAGCAGGUGAGAAACCUGCUCGCCGCAAGACCAAGGUUUCCUGAUCAACGCUAAUCGGAUCAGGGUCAGUCGGGUCCUAAGGCUCAGCCGAACGGCGAGGCCGAUGGCAGAAACGGUUAAUAUUCCGUUACUACCUUUACGGGCGAUGUGGAGACGCAGAAGUGACAGUGCCGCCAUCUGACGGAAUAGAUGGUUGAAGGGUGUAGAAGCUGAUCGUGGCAGGCAAAUCCACCACGUGAUUCGAACCUGACAGUAUGCCGCGUCCUCCGGGACAAGGCAAUAGCGCACGUAAGCAUACUGCCGAGAAAAUCCGCUAAGCUAUACCGUAAAGGUACCCGUACCGUAAACGGACACACGUGGUCGGGAUGAAUAUUCUAAGGCGCUUGAGUGAUUCACGGUUAAGGAACUAGGCAAACUGACCCUGUAACUUCGGGAUAAAGGGUCCCUCCUCGCAAGAGAGGGCGCAGAGAAUAGGUCCAGGCAACUGUUUAACAAAAACACAGGGCUGUGCGAAAUCGAAAGAUCCGGUAUACAGCCUGACACCUGCCCGGUGCUGGAAGGUUAAGAGGAGACGUCAUCGCAAGAGAAGCGUUGAAUUGAAGCCCCAGUAAACGGCGGCCGUAACUAUAACGGUCCUAAGGUAGCGAAAUUCCUUGUCGGGUAAGUUCCGACCUGCACGAAUGGUGUAAUGAUCUGGACGCUGUCUCAACCGUGAGCUCAGUGAAAUUGUAGUAUCGGUGAAGAUGCCGAUUACCCGCGAUGGGACGAAAAGACCCCGUGAACCUUUACUAUAGCUUAUCAUUGAAUUUGGGCACGUGAUGUGUAGGAUAGGUCGGAGGCUUUGAAGCAGGUACGCCAGUAUUUGUGGAGCCGCUGUUGAAAUACGACCCUUCAUUUGUUUGAGUUCUAACUCGUGAUGCGAGGACACUGAUUGGUGGGUAGUUUGACUGGGGUGGUCGCCUCCAAAAGUGUAACGGAGGCUUCUAAAGGUGCCCUCACGGCGAUUGGUAACCGCCGGGAGAGUGUAAUGGCAUAAGGGCGCUUGACUGGGAGACUCACAAGUCGAGCAGGUAGGAAACUAGAGCAUAGUGAUCCGGUGUUUCCGUAUGGAAGGGACAUCGCUCAAAGGAUAAAAGGUACUCCGGGGAUAACAGGCUGAUCCCUCCCAAGAGCUCAUAUCGACGGAGUGGUUUGGCACCUCGAUGUCGGCUCGUCACAUCCUGGGGCUGGAGAAGGUCCCAAGGGUUGGGCUGUUCGCCCAUUAAAGUGGCACGCGAGCUGGGUUCAGAACGUCGUGAGACAGUUCGGUCUCUAUCUAUCGUGGGCGUAUGAAAUUUGCGUGGCUCUGACACUAGUACGAGAGGACCGUGUUGGACUGACCUCUGGUUUACCGGUUGUGCCGCCAGGUGCAUCGCCGGGUAUCCAAGUCGGGAUCGGAUAAGUGCUGAAAGCAUCUAAGUACGAAGCCGGCCACAAGAUUAGAUUUCUCAGGGUCGUUGCAGACGACGACGUUGAUAGGAUGCAGGUGUAAAGAUGGAGACAUCAAAGCCGAGCAUUACUAAUUGCCCGUUCACUUUCUUUA
This 2209-nucleotide ribosomal RNA is filed under the name Phocaeicola sartorii. Its description in RNAcentral is "bacterial LSU rRNA". It matches the Rfam family "Bacterial large subunit ribosomal RNA", at positions 689 to 2925 of the family's 2925-position model. The record is from RNAcentral. Lineage: Bacteria; Pseudomonadati; Bacteroidota; Bacteroidia; Bacteroidales; Bacteroidaceae.